UCCUCGGCAGGCGGACACCUCUGAGAUACUGGGGAGAUGAGUGGAGAGCAUUGUUCCUGUCUGGCUCCUGAUCUGGAAGGGGCAGAUUUCAACAUUUAACAACAGAUAGGAUUUUGUUCUGUCUUUGUUCUGUCUCACUUUGUUUUGUUCUGCCUCCUGUCAGAUUUAGGACAUUCCCUUUUCCUCCAGGUACACGAGUUGAUUCUGUGUGUCUGGUGAGGUUUGUCUCAGAUUCACUCUUCUGAGACAGCAGACUCUUCUGAUACCAGCACCUUGCGGUCAUGACUAUCCUGUUGAAGGCCCCUACUUUUUCUGGAGUCUAGAAGUCCAACACCAUGGGAGAAUUUGGCUCCUUCUCUGCCUCUUCUAGCUCCUGGAGCUGCUGCUGAUGGCUGUCUUUCCCUGGUUCGUGGUGCCUCAUUCCAUCUUCAUGCAGUCUUCUCAGCGGUGUGUAAAACUUCAGCACUGCCUCAAGUGAACAGGAAACGCUUACAUUUCAAGGCCACUGACUGGAGCCCAUUUACACGUCAUGAGGGAACACUCGCCAGCUCCCUUUUCGGUCAAGGAAACAGUGAUGGAGCAGCAUCUCCUUGCCCUGUCUCUCCGUCAGUCUUUCUGUUCUGCAGAUCAGCUGGCCUGGCUUCUGCAGCAGGAUGAAAAGGUGCCCUGGGAGAUGUCCCAGGGAGCUAGUGAAUACCAAUACUCUUUCCCUCUCUGUAUGUAAAAUCCCCUUUUUAGUGGACAGACCUAUUAGUUGAUGGAAGUAUUGACAUUUUUAUGGGAUUGCUUUUGGAAAAGGCUAACACGUAAUUCUAAAUUCAA
Molecule: long non-coding RNA, 822 nt
Organism: Bubalus bubalis (water buffalo)
Lineage: Eukaryota; Metazoa; Chordata; Mammalia; Artiodactyla; Bovidae
Exons: 3
Source: RefSeq, a predicted model, not a curated record